Melozone crissalis (California towhee) is the source of this 672-nucleotide long non-coding RNA. RefSeq lists it as uncharacterized. The transcript has 3 exons. The record is from RefSeq and is a predicted model, not a curated record. Lineage: Eukaryota; Metazoa; Chordata; Aves; Passeriformes; Passerellidae.
CCUCGCUCGAUGUUGGUGAUGGCCCGCCGCAGGUGCUCCUCGGUCACCAGCUCGCCGAUGACCACCAGCAGAAAACCCUUAGCAGAAAUCUUUGGGCAAGCUUCAUUCAUGGAAGUUGCUGACAGCAAAGUGAAAGGGCAAAUGGCAAAGGCAUGAUCUCUAUAGAAACACAGUCACCAGAGCCUUAUGAACUGUGUUUCCAAGGGCAGAGCUGGACAAGCUCACUUCCAGGGUGAAUGAUUUGGUGGUGGAUGUGGCAGAAAUCUGUAAUAAAAGAACAGUGACUACUUCACACAGAUGAAAAUGUCCUUCUCUGGCUCGGUCCUGGCUCUUCCUACAAAAGCAUGAGCUGUGCAGUGUUCAAGGCCAACAUAUUUCUGCCAAUAAUAGAAUUUAACAAUUCCCCCAAACAAAUAGAUGCAUGAAGAAGAGAAGAAAACAAGGGUAACCUGAGAGGGUGUUCAUGUAGAUUAGCUGUGUUUAAUCUCAAUUUAACUCACCAUCUGCCUCCUCCUAACCUGCAUGUUCAAGACAGCACUGUGUUUCAAAAAGGAGUGAGAAUUGCCUGAUACAUGUGGAUGAAACAGCUGAUUCCUGUACAGUAGUUUGUUCAUGGUUCUCUUUCUGUCCCAUCAGGGUGCCUUUGUUUUAGCCAUGCUAAAAAUAAACACU